GGGGAUUUAGCUCAGUGGCAUAAGCACCUGCCUUGCAAGCAGGUGGUCGGGAGUUUGAUCCCCA
RNAcentral lists this transfer RNA (64 nucleotides) under Cavia porcellus (domestic guinea pig). It matches the Rfam family "tRNA". Rfam says of the family: Transfer RNA (tRNA) molecules are approximately 80 nucleotides in length. Their secondary structure includes four short double-helical elements and three loops (D, anti-codon, and T loops). Further hydrogen bonds mediate the characteristic L-shaped molecular structure. tRNAs have two regions of fundamental functional importance: the anti-codon, which is responsible for specific mRNA codon recognition, and the 3' end, to which the tRNAs corresponding amino acid is attached (by aminoacyl-tRNA synthetases). tRNAs cope with the degeneracy of the genetic code in two manners: having more than one tRNA (with a specific anti-codon) for a particular amino acid; and 'wobble' base-pairing, i.e. permitting non-standard base-pairing at the 3rd anti-codon position. Lineage: Eukaryota; Metazoa; Chordata; Mammalia; Rodentia; Caviidae. The record is from Rfam by way of RNAcentral.